This 317-nucleotide unclassified non-coding RNA is filed under the name fungal sp. RNAcentral's name for it is "partial internal transcribed spacer region". The stretch from base 1 to 45 matches the Rfam family "Eukaryotic small subunit ribosomal RNA", at positions 1787 to 1831 of the family's 1831-position model. The record is from RNAcentral. Lineage: Eukaryota; Fungi.
AGUCGUAACAAGGUAUCCGUAGGUGAACCUGCGGAUGGAUCAUUAACAAAGGUGUAUUUGAAGUUGUGUGAACAGUUGGAGGUGGUGGUGGUGGUGGUAUUGGGUGGUACUGGGUGGUAUUGGGUGGUAUUGGGUGGUAUUGAGUGGUAUUGAGUGGUGUAACCUUGGUCUAACCUUGGUCAACCUCACUCAACCUCACUCAACCUCACUCAACCUCACUCUCCCAACCUCCACCACUCCGUCCCUAUAAUGUAUACAAACUGAUGUCUGCUAGUUUCAAACUAAAACAACUUUUAGCAACGGAUCUCUUGGCUCUC